This 254-nucleotide ribosomal RNA is filed under the name uncultured bacterium. Its description in RNAcentral is "partial 16S ribosomal RNA". It matches the Rfam family "Bacterial small subunit ribosomal RNA", at positions 524 to 776 of the family's 1533-position model. The record is from RNAcentral.
UACGUAGGGUGCGAGCGUUGUCCGGAAUUAUUGGGCGUAAAGAGCUCGUAGGCGGUCUGUCGCGUCGGUCGUGAAAACUUGGGGCUUAACCCUGAGCUUGCGGUCGAUACGGGCAUGACUGGAGUUCGGCAGGGGAGACUGGAAUUCCUGGUGUAGCGGUGAAAUGCGCAGAUAUCAGGAGGAACACCGGUGGCGAAGGCGGUUCUCUGGGCAUGACCUGACGCUGAGGAGCGAAAGUGUGGGGAGCGAACAGG